AGAAACCCAUAUCCUAAAACAAAACGAAGCAGAAAUCCCCAAUCCCCAAUGCACAGAUUCCUCACUUAGCCUUACCCAUUCGCAGCAGAAGCUCCCUUUGGUUUUUGAGCACCACCACUCACAAUCUCAGAAACCCAUAUCCUAAAACAAAACGAAGGAGAGAUCCAAAUCAUGAAAAGGGAACACCCGAAUCUCCAUACUCGGUUAGAACCAGCUUCGGCUGGCAGUUCUUCUUCUGUUUACUCUACCAUGCCACCUGCUAAUACCAAUACUGAUGCUUCUUGCAAAGCCAAGAUGUGGAAAGACGAUGCCCACGUUGAUGGUGGGAUGGAUGAGCUUUUGGCUG
RNAcentral lists this unclassified non-coding RNA (346 nucleotides) under Hevea brasiliensis (rubber tree). The record is from RNAcentral. Lineage: Eukaryota; Viridiplantae; Streptophyta; Magnoliopsida; Malpighiales; Euphorbiaceae.